Molecule: transfer RNA, 356 nt
Filed under: uncultured Microcystis sp.
Lineage: Bacteria; Bacillati; Cyanobacteriota; Cyanophyceae; Chroococcales; Microcystaceae
Description: partial 16S-23S ribosomal RNA intergenic spacer
Rfam family: tRNA (bases 133-206)
Source: RNAcentral
AAGGGAGACCUAAUUCCGGUAGGAGACGAAAAAAAAGUAGUCCCAACCAAGAAUCAAUCCCAAAAGGUCGGAACGAGGUAUGAGGCUUUCAAACUAGGUUCUGGGUUCAUAAAAGACCUGAAUCAGGAACAAGGGCUAUUAGCUCAGGUGGUUAGAGCGCACCCCUGAUAAGGGUGAGGUCCCUGGUUCGAGUCCAGGAUGGCCCACCUGCACAGGUGGCAAAAACAAGAGAAGCGAGGAAUCAGCACCUUAUCUUAUCUAUAUAUAAGAGAGAAUGCUGGCUCUGAGUAAAGAGUCCAGAGGAACCUUGAAAACUGCAUAGAGCUAGGUGAAAAAGCCAAAAAAGAAGACCGCAA